AUGGACGAAAUGGCCGUGAAGUUAAAAGAUGCUACCGAUCGCAAUGAGGCUCUUGAGAAGGAGCGCCUAGCGGGGCAAGAAGACCUGGAGAAGGCCACCGCCGAAGCCAAGGAUGCCCGCUCUGCAAUGCGGGCUAUAAAGGAAGAGCUGCGCCAGGCCGGAGAAAUUGUAGCUGGCAAGCCUUUCCUGCUGCACCGAAGGUUUACGGAUCCAAAGUAUGCUCAGCUGGGCCAACUGUGGGGUCCAGAGGACCCUUACAUGGACUUAGCAGCGAGUGCGGCGGAUGUCAUUGUGCAUUUUCGAAGCCAGAAGGAUCACGAGACGGAAGAGCUGUUUUGGUCUCAAUUCCAUAGUCCGGAGCGUUCACUUCCGCUGACCGACCGUUUGGCCGAGUGGGCUGAGCUGAAUAGGUUGUCCGGGCUUGCUAUGACGGAUAUAGUGACCCAUGUCUGGCCGGAUAGGCCCAAGCCAAAGAGUUACUUUGGCUUAUUGCAGCAAUUUCUUGGGGCGGUGCCGCAUAUCAAGGCGAUGAAGCAGUCGGCCUGCAUAGAGGGUGCGCGGAUGACACUUGCCCGUGUGAAGACACAUUGGACAGAGAUGGAUGCCACUGUUGUUGCGACCCCGGGUUCGGACGAUAGCCGGUUACCCACCGAGCAAUAUUUUGGCGAAGUGUUGCGUGGUGCUCGUGUAAUAGAGUCGCAGUGCUCAAAAAAUGUUAGUUCGAAUGAACGUUUUUACGAUGUAAAACAAUAUUUAUGA
Molecule: ribosomal RNA, 759 nt
Filed under: Triticum aestivum (bread wheat)
Lineage: Eukaryota; Viridiplantae; Streptophyta; Magnoliopsida; Poales; Poaceae
Description: partial small subunit ribosomal RNA
Source: RNAcentral